AGAUGGCUUGGCACUAAAGACACAUGCUGCUCUUGCCAAGGACAGGAGUGUGGUUCCCAGCACCCACACUGGAUGGCUCAACAGCUGCCCGUAAUUCACUCCAGUGACUCCGAUACCCUAUUCUGACCUCUUUGGGCACCUGCAUAGAUGUGAGUGCUGGUAUUGACUACAGGCACAUGCCACCAUGACUAGUUUAUGCUGGGAAUGAAACCAGGGCCUUGUGCAUGCUCGGCAAGCAGUCUGCAGCUGGAGAUCCAUCCCUAAACCUGACCCAUCUCAUUAUGCUUGGGAUCCUGUCAGCUACAGAGAUCCUUUGCUUCCAGCCUUCUCAGGUAGCCUGCAUAUAAAAGAGACUGAAGAAAGCAGCAAGAGUGGAAAUCGGAGAGGAAAUCAAAGCCAAGCCUGACUCCAAGGCACCACACUGCUCUCUCCAAGGAACCAGGCAGGGCUGGAGAGAAUCUGGAACCCAAUUUCAGUCCAAACAUCUUUGCAUCUCCUGCCUAUGUACCCAGCUGCAGCGGCAGGAGGGCCUCAUAAUGCAACCUAGGCCUGGGAAGGGUCCUCCAUCGGAGAGCUCACAGUCGGCACAGGAAGUCGAGGAGAAGACAGUGGUGGGGUCAGUGAUCGGAAAUAGGUAUGCAAGUGUAAUUUAGAAACUAAACACCCUGCAGGAGAUGUGCCAGAA
This is a long non-coding RNA of Mastomys coucha (southern multimammate mouse), 685 nucleotides long. RefSeq lists it as uncharacterized. The record is from RefSeq and is a predicted model, not a curated record. The transcript has 4 exons. NCBI's taxonomy places the organism in Eukaryota, Metazoa, Chordata, Mammalia, Rodentia, Muridae.